AUUGAACGCUGGCGGCAUGCUUUACACAUGCAAGUCGAACGGCAGCGCGGGCUUCGGCCUGGCGGCGAGUGGCGAACGGGUGAGUAAUGCAUCGGAACGUGCCCAGUAGUGGGGGAUAGCCCGGCGAAAGCCGGAUUAAUACCGCAUACGACCUGAGGGUGAAAGCGGGGGACCGAAAGGCCUCGCGCUAUUGGAGCGGCCGAUGUCGGAUUAGCUAGUUGGUGGGGUAAAGGCUUACCAAGGCGACGAUCCGUAGCUGGUCUGAGAGGACGACCAGCCACACUGGGACUGAGACACGGCCCAGACUCCUACGGGAGGCAGCAGUGGGGAAUUUUGGACAAUGGUGGCAACCCUGAUCCAGCCAUGCCGCGUGCGGGAAGAAGGCCUUCGGGUUGUAAACCGCUUUUGUUCGGGAAGAAAUCCUCUGGGCUAAUACCCCGGGGGGAUGACGGUACCGGAAGAAUAAGCACCGGCUAACUACGUG
This 484-nucleotide ribosomal RNA is filed under the name uncultured bacterium. RNAcentral describes it as "partial 16S ribosomal RNA". It matches the Rfam family "Bacterial small subunit ribosomal RNA", at positions 28 to 507 of the family's 1533-position model. The record is from RNAcentral.